RNAcentral lists this ribosomal RNA (464 nucleotides) under uncultured bacterium. Its description in RNAcentral is "partial 16S ribosomal RNA". It matches the Rfam family "Bacterial small subunit ribosomal RNA", at positions 339 to 795 of the family's 1533-position model. The record is from RNAcentral.
CUACGGGGCGCUCCAGUGGGGAAUAUUGCACAAUGGGCGCAAGCCUGAUGCAGCCAUGCCGCGUGUAUGAAGAAGGCCUUCGGGUUGUAGAGUACUUUCAGCGGGGAGGAAGGGAGUAAAGUUAAUACCUUUGCUCAUUGACGUUACCCGCAGAAGAAGCACCGGCUAACUCCGUGCCAGCAGCCGCGGUAAUACGGAGGGUGCGAGCGUUAAUCGGAAUUACUGGGCGUAAAGCGCACGCAGGCGGUUUGUUAAGUCAGAUGUGAAAUCCCCGGGCUCAACCUGGGAACUGCAUCUGAUACUGGCAAGCUUGAGUCUCGUAGAGGGGGGUAGAAUUCCAGGUGUAGCGGUGAAAUGCGUAGAGAUCUGGAGGAAUACCGGUGGCGAAGGCGGCCCCCUGGACGAAGACUGACGCUCAGGUGCGAAAGCGUGGGGAGCAAACAGGAUUAGAUACCCCUGUAGUC